This 460-nucleotide ribosomal RNA is filed under the name uncultured bacterium. RNAcentral describes it as "bacterial SSU rRNA". It matches the Rfam family "Bacterial small subunit ribosomal RNA", at positions 28 to 507 of the family's 1533-position model. The record is from RNAcentral.
GAUGAACGUUGGCGGUGUGCCUAAUACAUGCAAGUCGAACGAAGUUGAUAGCGAUAUUAGCUUAGUGGCGAACGGGUGAGUAACGCGUUGGUGAUCUGCCUUGAAGUGUGGAAUAACGUUUCGAAAGGAACGCUAAUACCGCAUGUGCUCUCGAUUUUCAGAAAGUUGAGAGUAAAGGAUUUAUUCGCUUCAAGAGGAGCCUGCGUCCCAUCAGCUGGUUGGUAGGGUAACGGCCUACCAAGGCUAUGACGGGUAGGGGACCUGAGAGGGUCGGCCCCCCACAAUGGAACUGAAACACGGUCCAUACACCUACGGGUGGCAGCAGUAGGGAAUAUUAGAAAUGGACGAAAGUCUGAUCUAGCAACACCGCGUGUGCGAAGAAGGCCUUCGGGUCGUAAAGCACUUUUUGGAAGGAAUAGGAAGGAAUGUACUUCCAGAAUAAGUCUCGGCUAACUACGUG